CAAAAAUUUCUGCAAAUGGGUUCAACUCUAAUGGAAGUCAAAUCAAUGGCUGCAGUUUAUACCAAGCAAGAUUAUGUCAAGUUGUCCCCACAGCAGAUGGUGUCUGACUGAACACAGUUCUGAAAAAAUGGCCAAGGAAGAUAUAAUUAUUUGGGUUGAAGCAGCAGCCAAGUCAACCCUAAAUGACACCAAAGGACAAAUCAACGUGGAACUUGAAAUUGAGCUUCAGGGAACUGAAGCCAGACAGGCUUACGCAGACAUUUUUCUAGUCUUAACGUUAGACACAACACUUUGUGACUGGAGUUUUCAUUUGUGUGGUGGCAUCAUCUUCCCCUUGCCUAAAGCUGACAUUGUCAUCUUCAGCGAAGAGAAUUUCGAGUUGAAUAAAGACCAACGACUCCACACUGAACUGGCUGGAAUGGAAAAUGAGUGAUGAAUAUCAUCUUGCCAUUUUAACACUUGAACCAUGAACAUCUGGAAUUGGAACUGAAACCUUAACCUGACCCUGGAAAAAAAAGCUGUUGAUGAAUUCACCAAACUUCUCGUCAAAUCCUACCUAAAAACUACUUUACCGUCCAUCAAGAAAACGCAAUUAAAAUAGCUGCCGUUUGGAUAAGGAAACCGUGGCCCUGCGGUUUCUUGUCAUCGAGGAAUCCUCGGUCACGUCGGUCUGUAUUCUUUAACGACAAGCACUGCCACAAGAGUUAAUCCCAGGCCCGCCAACUCAUCUACUUGGCGAGUAAAGACUACAGAUACAAGGUGCUGAUGGACCAAUGGAGUGAAGAAUGUGAUCGACUAGCUGUAACAGCAUCCGACGGAUCAAUUUUACCAGUUUCCUAGACCAGAUACAAAUUUGUAACUGUGCACCACCUUCAUCUUUUGUCAUCAGUAAUUGCACAGCUUAGGUCGACUGAUUCCCGUGCGUUCAGGGGUAUCCCAACCAUCAACAACGGAGUACGUCCUGUGGCACCUCUUCGGUUCUCCUUCGAGACGGGGACGAGACUACUGGAUUUGCAGAGAUUACAGAUUUUCCCGCCAUCAGAGCUUCCGCUGUAAGCAGCAUUGGACGUAUUGAAACGACCCACCCAUCCGUUAUUGCCAUUACUGGAACCGUGAAGUAUGACAGAAGGUGGUCCACUUGGUCGGAUGCCAU
Molecule: long non-coding RNA, 1153 nt
Organism: Daphnia pulicaria
Lineage: Eukaryota; Metazoa; Arthropoda; Branchiopoda; Diplostraca; Daphniidae
Exons: 5
Source: RefSeq, a predicted model, not a curated record